Molecule: long non-coding RNA, 1183 nt
Organism: Asparagus officinalis (garden asparagus)
Lineage: Eukaryota; Viridiplantae; Streptophyta; Magnoliopsida; Asparagales; Asparagaceae
Exons: 2
Source: RefSeq, a predicted model, not a curated record
AGUUUUACAGAAGUCGUUCCACGGUAACUCUGUGGUUAGUGCACAACAUUUCAUGCACAGUCACUUAAAAAUUUAAUCGACAAAUAUGGGGUGUAUAAGGGGAAUUAGACGGAGAAUAUAGCAUGUAUAUAAACGGGCAUAUGCGCAUUCCUGAUAUCCUGAGUUAUAUAUAUACAUGGGCCAAAGAGCCAAUUCCUGACUUGAAGCCGUGUUCCCGGGACGGUUUACGGGGAACCGAUUUAUAUACAUGAAAAUAUUUUUCUCUAAUUCAAAUAACAUGUAAAAUAAGAAUAAUGUGCUUAUAUGCUUUGUGACAGAUUUGGCAUGCACGACAUGUCCUGGAUGAGGUUUUGGUGAUGUAUAUUUGUAUUGUUUGUUUAUAGAAUUUUGGGAGUUGAAAUUUAGAGAUUUACAAUUUGAGAUAUAUGGUAUAUACGAGGGUUUCCUUGUUUGGAUUAUUCCCUCGACGUACUCAUCUCAUGUUGUGGGUUUCUAAAUCUUAACUCCUUUUAGUAUAGGGUAUAAGAUAUGUGCUUGAGGUAGACCACGAUUGAUAUAUACAAUUAGCAAUUUUCCCCAGUCAUCUUUAAUUGAGCUUUCAUCAUAUUUUGGUUUAUAAGAUAGGCAUUUUCUUUUAUCACUGAAAAUUUAGAAUUUAUCUUUUCUUUAUAUCUAUCAUUUAUACUUACACGCUCACAAUUUCCUCAUUUUACAUGCUUGCUGGGAGUUUUCUGACUCCCCUGGGGUUUGCAUGCCCCAGACUUGGGAAUUAUUCUUUCUUCGCAGGAUCAAUGGUACUUUAAGGAUUAAGACCAGCGACAGUGAUCACUUUCUCUCUAUUCACUUUCUCAGCUUCAGCUAUCGAGUCUUUCUUGUAUUCACUUGUAGUAUUCCAGACUAAGAUGUAUUUUCCUCUCCUACUUUGAAGAGUUUUGGACAUACUUGGGAAUUAUUCUUUCUUCGCAGGAUCAAUGGUACUUUAAGGAUUAAGACCAGCGACAGUGAUCACUUUCUCUCUAUUCACUUUCUCAGCUUCAGCUAUCGAGUCUUUCUUGUAUUCACUUGUAGUAUUCCAGACUAAGAUGUAUUUUCCUCUCCUACUUUGAAGAGUUUUGGACAUGUAAGAGAACUUGUCUUUUCAGAAUUUUCUUUAUCUAUCUAGUUUCCUUUGCUAUUUUAGUUA